GAGGGUAUAGCUCAGUGGUAGAGCACAUGCUUAGCAUGCAUGAGGUACUGGGUUCAAACCCCAGCACCUUCA
Molecule: transfer RNA, 72 nt
Organism: Camelus ferus (Wild Bactrian camel)
Lineage: Eukaryota; Metazoa; Chordata; Mammalia; Artiodactyla; Camelidae
Rfam family: tRNA
About the family: Transfer RNA (tRNA) molecules are approximately 80 nucleotides in length. Their secondary structure includes four short double-helical elements and three loops (D, anti-codon, and T loops).
Source: Rfam